Long non-coding RNA from Anarrhichthys ocellatus (wolf-eel), 923 nucleotides. RefSeq lists it as uncharacterized. Lineage: Eukaryota; Metazoa; Chordata; Actinopteri; Perciformes; Anarhichadidae. The transcript has 4 exons. The record is from RefSeq and is a predicted model, not a curated record.
CCACCACCAACAGGGGGAAAAAACUUGCACACUCUGAGAGCUCAACUGUGCAUGCACUUUUAUUUGGUGCUUGUAGACGUUAUGGGAAAGUUGUCUCUCUCCCUACAUCUCUCUCCCUCUCCCCAUCCCUCCCUCCCCUCCUUCUCUUCGUCUAUCAUGUGCUUGGGAUAUGCUCAUGCUUUGCACAGAGCAGCCGAAGCACGACUAAUGCAGGCAACUGAGUGUUAACGGCAAUUUUAAAGUGAUGCCCCCCCCACCAAAUAUUACGGCUGGGAUAUUUGUGGGGAACAUACCACACCAUGGUACACACGGAGCCAACUGAACGCCGCUGUUCUUCCCCUGCUUGGGACGCUUUAUUAUCGAUUGCAGUGAUUUGACUCACCUCGAGGAAUGAUGGAGAAAGAGAGCUGUGGAGAACUGCAGCCGGAAGUAGAGGUCAAGACGAGAUCUCUGGGAUUUUGCUGUCCAUUGGACCCACAUGAGGUUGGAUGGAGACCUCGUAGAUCAUGACUCAGAAACGAAUGGCAUAAUAUGUGGAGUCUUCAGGCUGAAGACGUUAAGGAUAUUCAGCUGAUCUCAGAGGUAAAUGAGACAUCCUGAGCGAGAAGCCUGAAUUUCAUCAAGAAAGGAGCAUCAAGAUGUCCACUCAUAACUCCCUUAAGCUCUAUGAGCUUCACAUUGCUCUACAACACUUGAACCUGCAUUGUAUUCUCCAUUUCUGUAUUUAUGUCAACUGGUUAUAUAAUACUGUACUACCGGUCAAACAGACAAAUACUGUGACCUUGCACGUAUUUAUUUUAAAUGGGAGGAUACUGAGGUUGAAAAUAUGUUUCACAUUGAAACUUGUAUUCGUUUCAUGUAAUUGAUUGAGUCUAACAAGUAUAUUUUUUGACAGCUAAAUAAAGGCUUUUCUUUUCUUUUAA